Molecule: long non-coding RNA, 2076 nt
Organism: Hirundo rustica (Barn swallow)
Lineage: Eukaryota; Metazoa; Chordata; Aves; Passeriformes; Hirundinidae
Exons: 3
Source: RefSeq, a predicted model, not a curated record
CAGGCUGAGGGGGUAUUUUGUCCUUGCCUGAGGCCAUGUGGAAUAACUCUUUUGCUGCUCCUUGGUAUUGUCUUGGCUCCGUGCCUUUUUAGACCUUUGUAGGACACUUUGUUGCCUGUGAAUAACUAACUUGAGAGAAGAGACAUUAGAGUUUGAUGUCAGCCUAGUCCUGCUGUUCCAGGAGAGCUGGGGCUCAUGUUCCACCUGGGAGCUGGGACUGCUAGAAAAAUCUGUCACCCAUCUGCCAGAUCUCUUGAAGAGGGAAGUGCACUUUCUGGAUGAAGAGAAAAAAGAUUUGGAAAAAAAGCCAGAAGACAAAGAGAUUGGGUUAGAGCUGAUCACCGAUAAGAGAGAAACUCCCUAAAGGCAAACUUGUCCCUUGUCCUGACACACUGUACACAAAUCUCAUCGAGUUCAGCUUUUUCCUCUCUCCCUGUGACUGAAUCACAUCCUGUCGCUCGCUCAUGCGAGAUCUGUCCGAGCACUGAAGAAAUCAAACAUUGCAAGAUGUGGUUGUCUGAAAUACCAAGGGAGGUCCGAAUGUCCCAGGUGAGGGGUUGGAUACAAUUGACCUCGUGGGGCUUCCCAGAAGCCCAGCUAUGCCAGGCAUCCAGAGACACUGGCUCGUGCUUCUGCUAGGACACAGACCCAUCACAGGUUGGCUGGAGCGAUGCUUUCACGUUCUGAGGUUUUACAUCUCCACGGGUGACAGGCAGCUGGAACUUCUGUCGCUGUGACAUCUCCAAAGCAACGCAACAGCAGCAAUAAUAAAUGGCAACAACCGGGAACAGCAGCGGAGAGAAAACAGUUGCGCAAGAAGCGUGAGAAGCUCUUGUGUCACGCGAGACCCUUGGAGCCGGUCGCAAUCCUGCCUGUGUGUGACCAGCAGAUGCCACUGCAGCCCCGGGAACGGGGACUGCAGCGCUGUAACUGCGGCACAGGGGACACCUGGUGGCCUUCUCGGUCCUCUAAGCUGAUGAGAGCCCAAUGCUGUGCCUCCUGAUACGGGGAGAGUAAAGGGCACACUUGGGGUAAAGCCCCCUACAGACACACCUGCAUGAUUAACUCUUAGGGCAGGGGAUGCUCUUCCUAUGUAGCACUCUCGGAAAUGGUUGUUCUUCCUGUUUGAGUUUCCUGAUUGCUCUUGCCUUAUGAUAAAGGGAGAUCCAUCCUGCUGUUUCUGCCCCUACAUGAAGGUGUGCAAUUAAUAUUUCCUCCUACGUUACUGUUUUGGGCUCAGCAAGCACUGGAGGUUUCUGUCACUAUCAAUUUCCUUGGCAUCGUAUUCAGGAUUUCUUAGACACUGGUUAUUGCAUGUUCAUGAAAUACUUUGAGCAAUCUACUUUCUUUAGUACAAAGCUGAUAUCUGGGAGAAAAUAUCUUCCAUUGAAAUAUUACUUAAAAACUUGAGGUCAUGAUAUACUUUUUUAUAUACAUAUUGUUUUGUUUGUUUGUCGUCCUGUCCAGUGGGUUCUCCAUUCGUAGCCUGAAUUCCUCUUAACAUGAACCCUCCUUCCUAAGGGUACGUUUGUGUAUUCUGGAUCACUUUGGAAAAGCUCUUGUGGAUGUGAAUGGUCCUGUUUAAGGUGUUCCUUUGUGCUUGGCCUGGUGUGACUUUUGCUGGAUCCUCAUGGAUCAAACCGUGAGUGAUUUUUACCUUGGCUGACACUGCAAAGGUGGGUUGCUGUUUUGGUUAAACAAUACUCUACUUCAAGCAGGGCAGAUCCCUUAUAAUUUGAAAUGGCUACCCUCUCAUUCUUAUAAAUGUACUCCCUUUUGAAAUAGUCAGUCCCCCUUAACAAGCCUUGAAGGUUUUGGGUCAUGAGCUGCACCUCUCUAAAAAUAAUAUUUCAUCCCAAUAUUUGAGCAAAGUUGUUUCAUCUUGUUUUAUUAUUUUACUUGCCACUUUUGGUUUUAUUUGAAAUUUAAGCCCUUUGAUGCAAUCCAGUUGCAUUGUCAGUCUUUACUGUGCAGCUGAAAGAAAGGGAGAUACACCUUGACAAAGUGGAUGGUAACAUUAAUGAGUGACUAUGUGAAUAGAAGAAAGAAAUAAAUUACGAAAUCUGGAGAAUGGGA